Molecule: non-coding RNA, 387 nt
Organism: Monodelphis domestica (gray short-tailed opossum)
Lineage: Eukaryota; Metazoa; Chordata; Mammalia; Didelphimorphia; Didelphidae
Source: RefSeq, a predicted model, not a curated record
GAAACCAAUGCAACAAUGAUGGCUUCUGGAGCUCUCAUCUACAGAUGGUUCUAGGUGAUCACUGACCAUGACGACUCUCUACCUGAUGUAUAUGGUGCUUUUUUUGAUAUUUCCCUAUACUGCCAAAGGGUUGGAGGAAGCUGGAGACUUUUUUAAGUGUCAGUUGGGGGGUGGCCAAUGUUUCUCUCAUUGUCCAAGACAAUUUGAGCAACAUGGCUUCUGUACCAGUCCAUACAUGAAAUGCUGCAUACGUUAGCCAAAAGAAACAUGAAAGAACAGUGAAUCCAGACACUGUGGUAUAGAAGAAUGAGAGUAUUAAAUAGGGGACAAGUUGAAAUGCAUGGAAUAUGCUAUGCUUAUAUUAAUAAAGGAAAAUUCAUUUGGAAA